UAUUGCCACCAAAGAUGACUGUGAUUGAGCUGUGUGUAUUAUUUAACCCAAUCACAGCCAUCUUUGGUGGUGAUAA
Molecule: non-coding RNA, 76 nt
Organism: Xyrichtys novacula (pearly razorfish)
Lineage: Eukaryota; Metazoa; Chordata; Actinopteri; Labriformes; Labridae
Source: the annotation of a GenBank genome assembly